This is a long non-coding RNA of Mirounga angustirostris (Northern elephant seal), 1115 nucleotides long. RefSeq lists it as uncharacterized. The transcript has 8 exons. The record is from RefSeq and is a predicted model, not a curated record. Lineage: Eukaryota; Metazoa; Chordata; Mammalia; Carnivora; Phocidae.
UCUAAGUCCUAGAAAAAUAUAAAGUAAAAAAGACAUUUACAUUAAUAAACAUAGCUUUCAUAUUGACUAUAAUCAAUUUCUUUUUUCUAUUUGACUUGGAGAGGAUCAUGUCCCAAGACACGCUGCAUAAAAUUCAUGUAUGGAAGCAAUAUGCCGGUGAUGCAAAUGCAGUUGCAUGUUCCACUCCUUUCCUUUCUGCCGGGAAUGACUGGUGUCUGGUUUUUGUUGAAAGCCCUCCUAUUAAGAAAUUCCGGAGCCACAUUUACAUAUCAGGACCAAAACAAAGGAUUCAGAGAAAUCAAGAGCAACCAGUGUGGACCUCCAUUAACCCGCGGCAUCAGUAAAACUGCUGAAAAUUUCAAUGGAAACAUCCACAAAGAAAUCACUUCAUUGGACAUGAACAAAUACAACCUAUGAUUUGUAAAGGACCGUUAGUCAUGCCCUCUAGGAAGGACUUAUUCAGUUUUGUCACCCAAGAACCUAGAAAGAAAUCUGGGACACAAAAAAGAUAUGCCUGAUUUCAUUGGAUGAUGGAACUGGAAGAGACUCUAGAAUUCACAUUUCCCCAAACCUCUCACUAUACAGCUCUUUGUACUUCCCCUGCCUCCCUCUGGUGGUUUGCAUUCAGUGAUAGUAGCUAAAGGAAACACUGGAGAAGUAAGCGCUAGGAUUCAUGUCAUACCAAUGAAGUGAAUUGGAAUAACUGAGUUGACCAAGAGUUUACUCUAACAGAACCUGUGACUCUUUCCAAAGGAACCUUGACUGGCAAUUUCUUCCCUAAUAAAACCCAACUUCUAUGUUAAAAAUCCCAUGUGGCAGAAACGGAGUAGGACACAAAGGAAAAGACCACACUGUGAGGCUGUGACUCAGCUGGACCAGAAUGAAGAUCUACACCAGAUUCAAAAAUGAGACAGAUUAAGAAGACAAGGAGUAAUUGAAAUAUGUCCUGAGAACAUCAAUAUUAAGCUUUUAUUUGGCUAUGUGUCUCAUGUCUUCAACUACACCAGGAGCUUUUUGAGGUUUUAUGAUACUUAUUCUUCUUCAGUAGAGGUGGUGAACAUGUGGUCAGCAGCAUCAUCCAUUUAACAUCACUGUGUGCUCAGAUCCACCUUCAG